This 503-nucleotide ribosomal RNA is filed under the name uncultured Glomus. RNAcentral describes it as "SSU rRNA". It matches the Rfam family "Eukaryotic small subunit ribosomal RNA", at positions 569 to 1077 of the family's 1831-position model. Lineage: Eukaryota; Fungi; Glomeromycota; Glomeromycetes; Glomerales; Glomeraceae. The record is from RNAcentral.
AGCAGCCACGGUAAUUCCAGCUCCAAUAGCGUAUAUUAAAGUUGUUGCAGUUAAAAAGCUCGUAGUUGAAUUUCGGGACCAAUAUGUCGGUCGUGCUUCGGUACGUACUUGCAUUAUUGGUUUCUCCCUUCUGACGAACCAUGAUGUCAUUAAUUUGGUGUCUUGGGGAAUCAGGACUGUUACUUUGAAAAAAUUAGAGUGUUUAAAGCAGGCUCACGCUUGGAUACAUUAGCAUGGAAUAAUGAAAUAGGACGUUUGAUUCUAUUUUGUUGGUUUCUAGGAUCGACGUAAUGAUUAAUAGGGAUAGUUGGGGGCAUUAGUAUUCAAUUGUCAGAGGUGAAAUUCUUGGAUUUAUUGAAGACUAACUACUGCGAAAGCAUUUGCCAAGGAUGUUUUCAUUAAUCAAGAACGAAAGUUAGGGGAUCGAAGACGAUCAGAUACCGUCGUAGUCUUAACCAUAAACUAUGCCGACUAGGGAUCGGAUGAUGUUAAUUUUUUAAUGA